ACUCCUACGGGAGGCAGCAGUGGGGAAUCUUAGACAAUGGGGGCAACCCUGAUCUAGCCAUGCCGCGUGAGUGAUGAAGGCCUUAGGGUCGUAAAGCUCUUUCGCCAGGGAUGAUAAUGACAGUACCUGGUAAAGAAACCCCGGCUAACUCCGUGCCAGCAGCCGCGGUAAUACGGAGGGUGCGAGCGUUAAUCGGAAUUACUGGGCGUAAAGCGUGCGUAGGCGGCUUGGUAAGCCGGUUGUGAAAGCCCCGGGCUCAACCUGGGAACGGCAUCCGGAACUGUCAGGCUAGAGUGCAGGAGAGGAAGGUAGAAUUCCCGGUGUAGCGGUGAAAUGCGUAGAGAUCGGGAGGAAUACCAGUGGCGAAGGCGGCCUUCUGGACUGACACUGACGCUGAGGUACGAAAGCGUGGGUAGCAAACAGGAUUAGAUACCCUGGUAGGCUCUGC
This 448-nucleotide ribosomal RNA is filed under the name uncultured bacterium. RNAcentral's name for it is "bacterial SSU rRNA". It matches the Rfam family "Bacterial small subunit ribosomal RNA", at positions 335 to 800 of the family's 1533-position model. The record is from RNAcentral.